Molecule: non-coding RNA, 81 nt
Organism: Leptodontidium sp. MPI-SDFR-AT-0119
Lineage: Eukaryota; Fungi; Ascomycota; Leotiomycetes; Helotiales; Leptodontidiaceae
Source: the annotation of a GenBank genome assembly
GCUUAUAUAGUGUAAUGGUAGCACGUUGAGGCAAAUGUCAUUUGCUCCUCUACUGUGCUAGUUCGAUUCUAGCUAUAAGCA